CACUCCUGCGGGAGGCAGCAGUGGGGAAUAUUGGACAAUGGGCGCAAGCCUGAUCCAGCCAUGCCGCGUGAGUGAUGAAGGCCCUAGGGUUGUAAAGCUCUUUCACCGGUGAAGAUAAUGACGGUAACCGGAGAAGAAGCACCGGCUAACUUCGUGCCAGCAGCCGCGGUAAUACGAAGGGGGCUAGCGUUGUUCGGAUUUACUGGGCGUAAAGCGCACGUAGGCGGACUAUUAAGUCAGGGGUGAAAUCCCGGGGCUCAACCCCGGAACUGCCGUUGAUACUGGUAGUCUUGAGUUCGGGAGAGGUGAGUGGAAUUCCGAGUGUAGAGGUGAAAUUCGUAGAUAUUCGGAGGAACACCAGUGGCGAAGGCGGCUCACUGGCUCGAUACUGACGCUGAGGUGCGAAAGCGUGGGGAGCAAACAGGAUUAGAUACCCCUGUAGUCCCA
RNAcentral lists this ribosomal RNA (447 nucleotides) under uncultured organism. RNAcentral's name for it is "partial 16S ribosomal RNA". It matches the Rfam family "Bacterial small subunit ribosomal RNA", at positions 334 to 797 of the family's 1533-position model. The record is from RNAcentral.